Long non-coding RNA from Odontomachus brunneus, 921 nucleotides. RefSeq lists it as uncharacterized. The transcript is spliced from 5 exons. The record is from RefSeq and is a predicted model, not a curated record. NCBI's taxonomy places the organism in Eukaryota, Metazoa, Arthropoda, Insecta, Hymenoptera, Formicidae.
GUCGGUCUGGCCGAGGCAUAAAGUAGGAACAAGAGAUUUAUACCAAUACCGAUUACUAUGCCCAGCUCAAGUCGCACGAAAAGGCAGCACAGGAACGUGACUAUGGCCGGUUUUACCACGUGAAGCUCUACCAUGAAAACGACCGCAGCGAUGAUGACGGCCGCCAGGGAGGCCUUGGGAAUGUAAUAUAGAUAGGGUGUGAGGAAUUGCAAUGAUAUAAGUACCAGGAGACCAGUGUAGACUCCACCGAGCGUUGUCUUCACUCCAGACGAAUGAUUGACUGCACCUCGACUGAGGCCGCCGCUCACGGGCAUCGACGAUACAAAGGAUGACAGCACAUUGCACGCACCCAGUGCCAGCAUCUCUUGAGUUGCGUCGAUCGACUUGCCAUCAGCUAUAUAUGUGUAACAUAAAUCCAUUAUUUUUUUUGAAGAAGAAAAAUUGCUCCGAUGAAACAUCUCUAUUCUUUAGAAUACUUUGGCGAUAGAAAUGCUUUCCAGCAAACUCAGCAUGGGAAUGACCACACAGCCGGAGCCCAGAGACGAAAUCAUAUCAAGGAAGGUAAGCAGCAGGACAAUUAUGCAGACGACUCCCAAAGCGGUGUCCCAGAGCCGCGUCUCGCCGAUCUGCUCGAAUAUAUCUCGCCAGACUUGCACAAAUUUGCCACUGGAUACAUGGACCCCGAGAAUGUCUUUCACCUGGCUGGUGGCGAUAAUGAUUGAUGCCGCCGACGUGAAACCGACAGACACUGGCCCCGAUAUGAAGUCCAACAGGAACCCUAAUUGUUGGACAAUACAAAAAGUUAUUUUGCACUGAGAGAAAAAUUGUGGGAGUGGCUUCGAGUGGGAAAGAUAUGUGAAAUAUCAAGCAACAAGGUUGUAAACGACAAGUGAGUACCAUGCGACGUUACCUAAUUGCAAG